Long non-coding RNA from Phragmites australis (common reed), 690 nucleotides. RefSeq lists it as uncharacterized. The record is from RefSeq and is a predicted model, not a curated record. NCBI's taxonomy places the organism in Eukaryota, Viridiplantae, Streptophyta, Magnoliopsida, Poales, Poaceae. The transcript is spliced from 3 exons.
UAGAGGCAGGGGCGGGCGACGCAGAUCUGGGAGGGGAGGGGGUGAGGCGCCGACUGCCGAGGAUGAGCAGCUGCAGAUCGACUGCGAUGGCGAGGGCACGCUCUUCGUCGUCACCAAGUGCCGCGUUACGCCGGUAGUCGAUGGCACCGAAGCAGACUGAGAGCCUGAGAGGGAGUGCAUGCAUCAUGCAGCCGAGACAUCUGCUGAUUCUGUUCGGAGACCUGGAGCAGUAGAUCCAGGUUGUUGGAUGGUGGCAGUGGAGUCCUGCCCUGUGAACUGCAUCCGGUGGGUUCAGAGCCAGGAGCUGUCGAUGUUGGAGUUCCGGUCACGUCCACAUCCAAAGGAAGGCCAUGGCAUCUUCGGUGACGGGUGGGAGAGGCCAAGGAACGUGUUCGCAGCAGCCAAGAACUUGCCCAAGAAACUCGAAAGGGAGUAGCAGGAGUUGGAACGGGAGCAAUCCUCCAGAAGUCCCAAGGGUAAAAUGAAUCGAAGUUACUGCAGACCUGGGAGCUCAUGGAUCGCCAAAAUUCAGAUCCUACGAGCAUUGAUGUAAAGGCAUUAUUCAGAUUUCAGACCAAAAUUCAGAUCCUUGCUCAUUCUGAUGUAUACUGUGAUAACAGUGUUUACAAGAAAUAUUCUUGAUUACUGAGAAUUCUUUCUUGGAAUGAAUGUUUGGACAUGUAUUACUAU